Molecule: ribosomal RNA, 253 nt
Filed under: uncultured bacterium
Lineage: Bacteria
Description: partial 16S ribosomal RNA
Rfam family: Bacterial small subunit ribosomal RNA
Source: RNAcentral
UACGUAGGGGGCAAGCGUUGUCCGGAAUUAUUGGGCGUAAAGCGCGUGUAGGCGGCCAGAUAGGUCCGCUGUGAAAUCUCGAGGCUCAACUUCGAGCUGUCGGUGGAAACUGUCUGGCUAGAGUCCGGAAGAGGAGAAUGGAAUUCCUGGUGUAGCGGUGAAAUGCGCAGAUAUCAGGAAGAACACCCGUGGCGAAGGCGGUUCUCUGGGACGGUACUGACGCUGAGACGCGAAAGCGUGGGGAGCGAACAGG